AGUAUCUAUACCAAAUCAAAUAAGUGCUGGAGAACGGGAGUUACUGGAGGAACUUGCAUCUCUGAAGGACACAUCCAGCAACCGGUCGCGAACUCGUGCUAAGCCUCAGCAACCCAGUACUCUGAGCACCGCACCUAGUAGCUCAGAAAACAGGAUAGAUGAAGUGAAGGAGGAAAAUCAAGAACCAGAGCAAGAAAACGACUUGUGGAAGAGCAUCAAAGACUUAGCAGGGUCUGUGGCAAAUGGAGCUCUGAAAUGGCUGAGAGAUAACCUAUAAGAGAUUCAUCUUCAACUAAAAAAGGACGUGGUUUAAAAGCUGCAUUCAUGGUAGGAAUGUGGCAAUGUUCAUUGUUUCAUUUGUUAAUCUGAGGGUCUUUUGCGGAAAAACAAAUACAAUAUUUUUUUUUGCCUUUCUCAGUUACAGUUUGAUGCACAUAUUGUGAGAAGAGAGGGCGGUUCUGCUCUACCUACCUCUAUAAUACUCCUUUCAAUAUACUGUAGACUGUAGUAGUACAGAGACAACCGGUUUUCCGAGUUGGUUUUGCUAUAAAAGAAAAAAUCAGUGAAAUUGAUGGAA
Molecule: non-coding RNA, 577 nt
Organism: Camelina sativa (false flax)
Lineage: Eukaryota; Viridiplantae; Streptophyta; Magnoliopsida; Brassicales; Brassicaceae
Source: RefSeq, a predicted model, not a curated record